GAUGAACGCUGGCGGCGUGCCUAAUACAUGCAAGUCGAGCGAACGGACGAGAAGCUUGCUUCUCUGAUGUUAGCGGCGGACGGGUGAGUAACACGUGGAUUACCUACCUAUAAGACUGGGAUAACUUCGGGAAACCGGAGCUAAUACCGGAUGAUAUUUUGAACCGCAUGGUUCAAAAGUGAAAGACGGUCUUGCUGUCACUUAUAGAUGGAUCCGCGCUGCAUUAGCUAGUUGGUAAGGUAACGGCUUACCAAGGCAACGAUGCAUAGCCGACCUGAGAGGGUGAUCGGCCACACUGGAACUGAGACACGGUCCAGACUCCUACGGGAGGCAGCAGUAGGGAAUCUUCCGCAAUGGGCGAAAGCCUGACGGAGCAACGCCGCGUGAGUGAUGAAGGUCUUCGGAUCGUAAAACUCUGUUAUUAGGGAAGAACAUAUGUGUAAGUAACUGUGCACAUCUUGACGGUACCUAAUCAGAAAGCCACGGCUAACUACGUG
This 497-nucleotide ribosomal RNA is filed under the name uncultured bacterium. Its description in RNAcentral is "partial 16S ribosomal RNA". It matches the Rfam family "Bacterial small subunit ribosomal RNA", at positions 28 to 507 of the family's 1533-position model. The record is from RNAcentral.